UACGGAGGGUGCAAGCGUUAUCCGGAAUUACUGGGCUUAAAGGGUGCGUGGGCGGCUUGCUAAGUCAGGGGUGAAAGCCUAGCGCUUAACGCUAGAAUUGCAUUUGAUACUGUAAAGCUUGAACGGGGUAGAGGUCAGCAGAAUGCCUAGUGUAGCGGUGAAAUGCAUAGAUAUGCGGAAGAACACCGGUUGCGAAGGCGGCUGGCUGGGCCUACUUUGACGCUGAGGCACGAAAGCGUGGGGAGCGAACAGG
This 253-nucleotide ribosomal RNA is filed under the name uncultured bacterium. RNAcentral describes it as "partial 16S ribosomal RNA". It matches the Rfam family "Bacterial small subunit ribosomal RNA", at positions 524 to 776 of the family's 1533-position model. The record is from RNAcentral.